This 89-nucleotide transfer RNA is filed under the name Olsenella sp. RNAcentral's name for it is "tRNA-Ser". It matches the Rfam family "tRNA". From Rfam's summary of the family: Transfer RNA (tRNA) molecules are approximately 80 nucleotides in length. Lineage: Bacteria; Bacillati; Actinomycetota; Coriobacteriia; Coriobacteriales; Atopobiaceae. The record is from RNAcentral.
GGAGCGUUGGCAGAGAGGUAAUGCGGCGGAUUGCUAAUCCGUAGGGCCUUGACGAGGUCCCGUCGGUUCGAUUCCGACACGCUCCGCCA